This 328-nucleotide ribosomal RNA is filed under the name uncultured eukaryote. Its description in RNAcentral is "partial 18S ribosomal RNA". It matches the Rfam family "Eukaryotic small subunit ribosomal RNA", at positions 1470 to 1796 of the family's 1831-position model. The record is from RNAcentral.
CCCUUAGAUGUCCUGGGCCGCACGCGCGUUACACUGAUGCAUUCAACGAGCUUAUAACCUUGGCCGAGAGGCCUGGGCAAUCUUGUUAACGUGCAUCGUGAUAGGGAUAGAUUAUUGAAAUUAUUAAUCUUGAACGAGGAACUCCUAGUAAACGCAGAUCAUCAAUCUGCAUUGAUUACGUCCCUGCCCUUUGUACACACCGCCCGUCGCACCUACCGAUUGGAUGGUCCGGUGAAGCCUCGGGAUUGUGGUUCUUGCCGCUUUAUUGUAGCGUGACCGCGAGAACUUGUCUAAACCUUAUCAUCUAGAGGAAGGUGAAGUCGUAACA